This 425-nucleotide ribosomal RNA is filed under the name uncultured bacterium. RNAcentral's name for it is "partial 16S ribosomal RNA". It matches the Rfam family "Bacterial small subunit ribosomal RNA", at positions 354 to 796 of the family's 1533-position model. The record is from RNAcentral.
GUGGGGAAUCUUGCGCAAUGGGCGAAAGCCUGACGCAGCCAUGCCGCGUGAAUGAUGAAGGUCUUAGGAUUGUAAAAUUCUUUCACCGGGGACGAUAAUGACGGUACCCGGAGAAGAAGCCCCGGCUAACUUCGUGCCAGCAGCCGCGGUAAUACGAAGGGGGCUAGCGUUGCUCGGAAUUACUGGGCGUAAAGGGCGCGUAGGCGGACAGUUUAGUCAGAGGUGAAAGCCCAGGGCUCAACCUUGGAAUUGCCUUUGAUACUGGCUGCCUUGAGUACGGGAGAGGUGAGUGGAACUCCGAGUGUAGAGGUGAAAUUCGUAGAUAUUCGGAAGAACACCAGUGGCGAAGGCGACUCACUGGCCCGUUACUGACGCUGAGGCGCGAAAGCGUGGGGAGCAAACAGGAUUAGAAACCCCAGUAGUCC